Molecule: long non-coding RNA, 14157 nt
Filed under: Populus trichocarpa (black cottonwood)
Lineage: Eukaryota; Viridiplantae; Streptophyta; Magnoliopsida; Malpighiales; Salicaceae
Description: long non-coding RNA (PTRI_LNC004090)
Source: RNAcentral
AGGAUGUAUAAACAAAGGUCAGAAGUUAUGUCUAAGCUAUGAUACAAGAUUUUUGGGAGAGGUGGUGGUCUCAAGAUGAGGCGGCUAAAGGAGGGAGAGGAGGCUUGGAUCCAUGGAAAAAAGUUGGCGGUGACAUUUUGCUCAUAUUUUCAUUCUGUUCCCGCUCCCCCUCCUCCCCCUCCUCCUCUUCAGCAUCCCAAAGAAACCGAGCAUAAGAUGCCAUCACAUAACUGCAGCAUCAAAACAAAGACAUACUUAAAACUUGGAAUCCAUCAUAACUACAGCGAAUGGUAAAGUACAAUACUGUAAUACUGAUAAUUGUCUAUCCACGUACAAUCCUUUUUCCCACCAAACAUUGAAACUAAGAUCAUGGUAUAAUUCAUGUCUCUAAGGUUCCAGCAGCAAAUUUUAUGGACUCUACAAUCAACAAAGGUGCUUACCAAUCAUCGGGAGCAGCUUUAACAGCUCGAAGGAAAUAAGAUUCAGCACGAGAAGCAUCCUUAUGACUCUGCCAUAUCAAAUCAGCAUACAUUGAAAGAACAUCUGCAUCAUUAGGGUUGGCUAGAAUUGCUCUCCCACAGUACUCUUCAGCUUUUACAAAAUCCAAACGAACCUGUUCCAAUUCCAAAACAAUACAUUAGAACAAUCUUGCCCAACAAGAUUGGCUUCUAUUCACUUACUAAAUCAUUCCUAAUUUACUCAUACUCUUACCUUUUGUGUAUGAAAAUUAUUGUUUACGUCUGAAAAACAUUUUUUCUCACGAUUCUGUAGCAUAGAGUUUCAAAAACUUUAUACUUUGAGAAUAUCCAUUAAAGUAAUUUCAUACAAAGAGCAAAACUUUUAUACAAAAGGAGCUUUAAAAGCACAAAUUUCAGAUGGAUAUUCACUGUUGAUAUACAAUUACAUUAACUACACAAGACAGAAACAUAGCUUCCCAUUUCUUUAAACUUCAAAAAAAAAUCACAACACAAAACACAUUAUCUAACCAUAACACAAACAAAUUCAAUAAAAAAUAAAAGAAAUUUUUUUUUUCAAAAACCAUGCAAGCAAGAACCUUUUGCAAUACAGCAAACACGUACCUCUUUCAAGAACCUGGCAUAAUUUCUGAGAAAAAGAGGAUUCCCAGGAUUGGCUUCAAUCAUCGUCUGAUAAUAAGCAUCGGUAGUUUCAAUCCCCUCAUUGGACUCCCGAGACCCUGAUCCUCCAUCAUCACCAAAAUCCGACCUACCACGACCACCACAAAACUUCCGUCCACCACCAUCACCACCACCACCGGUCACCAAAACCUCUAAAACCCCAUUAUCACCCUCCCCCUUCUCUCCAGCCUCACACCCUUCAAAAAACAACCCACCCUCCCAAAAUGACACCUUUUCCUCCACUUCUUCAUCAACAGGGAUUCCAUUCAAGAUUCCGUUACUGGGUUUUCUCUUUGGCACUGAGAGGUCCCUUAAAUCUGCCUCGGAAAAGGCUCUUGUCAUUCUUUUAAUAGAAUCAUGAUCUUGUGAAGAAAUGGAAGAAAAUGGACUAGAAGAUGAUGCUGUCAGCGAAAUGGGCCGGGUUUUUUGAAUUUGGUGCACAGAUUCAGGUUCUGGAGAUGGUUCUUUCGAGUGUGGAGGGAUCCAUGAAUUCAGAAAUGGCGUUGAUGAGCUUCUCAGAAGCAUUUUUUUGGCCUUGGAUUUCUCUCAAUUUCUGCAAAUGUGGAGACUUGGCAUGUGAGUAGGAGAAGAAGGUGAUGUUCUUAUAUAGGAGUCAGGAUUGAAUCUUGGCCGUUGAUUUUGUUAACGUAGGGAUUCGGAGUGUACUGUACACGUUCUUGUUUUUGGUAUUGGAGUUUCAGUGACUUGUUUGGGUAAAGGAUCUAAAGUUUUAAUUUUAGAAUUUUGUUUUUCUAUUUUAUGGUUUUCAAAAAUUCUUUUCUUGAAUUGUAUUCUUUUUACCAUUGUCAUCAAAGCUUGGUCACGGGUUUGCGAAUUUUAAUUUUAAAAUAAUAUUAUUUUAUUUUCAAAAAUAAAACAAUAUUAUUUUAGAUUAUUAAAAAAUUAUAGGUUUAGAUAAAAAUUUUAAAAAAAAUGAAGUUAACUUGAUAACAUGUCUUCAAAUCAGUCAAGUUUAAUAAAUAUAUUUUUAUUAUAAUUUGUAUAAUUUUGGAAUAAUUUAUUUAUUUUUGUUUUUUUUUCAAUUUUAUAACAUGAUUAAUUGAUGUAUUGUUGGUCGCAGUUGAUAAUUGGCCACUGAUAAAUAAUGUGGGUGAUUAAUUGUUUUAUUUAUUUGUUGAGUAAUUAAUUGGUUAUUAGUUAUGGAAGUUUGUUGACAAUUGGGAAGAUGAUUUUUAUUGUAAACUUUCUUUUUAAAUGUCUUAUUCUCUUAUAUAUAUAUAUAUAUAUAUAUAUAUAUAUAUAUAUAUAUAUAUAUAUAUAUAUAUAUAUAUAUAUAUAUAAACAUGCAUAGUCUUCCUUUUUAAUUAGAGAAACAUUGCUAGAUUUAAUAAUAAUCAAUCAAAAUAUUUUGUUCUUAUUGAUUUUAACAUGGUUUAAUUUUUGUUUAGGGAGAAAGUCUUUAUUUAUUUAUUUAUUUUCUUUUGGUGUGGUUUUAUAACAUUUCUUUAUGGACCCAAUAUAACUUUAUAGCAUAUGAUUAUUUAUCAAGGCAUGUGUUUCAAUAUUAAUACUAUCUUGAGAAAAAUCAAGGAAAAAUCGUGAAUUACACUAUUGAUACUAUAAUCCAAACGAAAUCAUUAAACACUAUCAGUGUGCUUCUCUUCCAUUCACAUAAAAGGAAAAAAAAAUAUUAAUGGUUUCAUUUUUUCUUAUGAAUGUAUGCAUUACUACAAAUACCUAUUAAUCUCUCACAAUUCUAAAUUAUGAAAAUUAAAGAGAAAAAAUGUGUUUUAUUUUAUGCUUAUUUAUUUGGUGAAUAUUUUGGUUUUAAAUACUUAUCAGAAAAUUAAAAUCAAACCGGAAAGAGAUUUAGUUUUGAUUAGUUUUUUUAUUCACACUAUGCGAGGUUUAAUUCAGAUUUUUUCUAACGUAAAAAAAGAUUUACAGGCAAUGACAAUAUGAGUCAACUUGGGUUAACUUAGCGAACAUGUAGGAUAUUAGAUCAGAAUACUCUAUAGAAUGGAAUGCGAAAAAAACCACAAAACUCAAGGCCCAAUAACCUAAUCUCAAAUGAUGAAAUUAAAAAAAAAGUUAAUUAAAAAAAAUGUUGAAGAAAAAACUCGAGUCAACCUGGAUUCACUAUAUUAACCCACCACUCGCGACAUGAGAUCUAGAUUUAAAAUAUAUAUUUUUUAAAAUGACCUAGAAAAAAGGAUUGAAGUUAAAUAAAUAAAAAAACUUUGGAAAAAAAUCUAAGUCACUCCGAGUUAACUUGACUAACUUGCGAUCCAGGAUAACCUGACUAACUAACGGUCUGAGAUAACCCCAUAAAAAUAAAAGGGCAUAAAAAAUCAAAAAGCUCAAGACUAAAUAGUCUAAUUUCAAAUGAUGAAAUUGAAAAAAAAACUUAAAAAAAAAACAUUGAAAAAAAUCUAAAAAUACUCAAGUUAACUUGACUAACUCACGAUCCAUAAAAUAAUAAAAUAAUAAAAAGAAAGCAUUUAAAAUAAUAAGGACCAAAAUUGGAUAAAAAAUAAAAUAAAAUAUUGAGGGACAAAAUAAAAAUAUUAAGAAAAGGAUAAAAAAAAAGCAAUUAAAAGAAUGAAGACAAAAAAUAGAUAAAAAAUAAAUGAAAUAAAAAAUCAAGAGACAAAAUUGAAAAAAAAGAAGAAGAAGAACAAAUCAAGAAAAGUAUUAAAAAACAACAAUCAAAUGAAUGGGUAUCAUAUUUGAUAUAAAAACCAAAUAAAAUUAAAUGAAAAUGAAAAUAAAAACAAAAACAAAAACAAAAAAAUCAAAACAAAGAAAGACAUAUAUAAAAAAAAGACCAUAAUUAAAAUAAAAAAUAAAUGAAAGGAUUAGUUGACCCAACACUUAUUUAAAGAAGAUAAGAGAGAAAAUAGUGGAGAGGAGAAAAAAAUCUCAUCGUUGCUAAAUUGUCGUGAAUUGCAUUACACAUGCAACCCUAUUAGUUGCAUCAUCACUGGACACUUCGAAAAGAUACUAUUGUUGAACUUUAUUGGUCAUUGGAAGACGCUGCACAAAGUGUGCGGGUAGCUCUCACUCAUUAGUUUUUUUUGAUUAUUUUUAUUUGUUAAAAGACUAGUUUAUUUUUAAUUUAAAUAGAUUAUAAUAGAAAACAAUAUGAUAAAAAUAUCAAAAUACUUCUUAAUCCCUCAUUUAUUUAUUUAUUUACUCGAAAAGCAAUGAAUUAAUUUUCUUAUUUUAAAAAUGAAAUGAUGCAAAAGCCCCUUUUAUUUUUUUUUAUUGUUUUAAGAGUAUUUAUGUUAUUUAACUGUGAAAAAAAUUAAUAAACCAUUAUACCUCGAUUAAUUUCAUAAAACUAAAUAAAUCAUCUGAAAAAAACUAUUUUACCCAUAAAAAGCUAUUUAUUUUGUGUAAUUAAAAACACCCUACCUUAGAUUGAUAGGGUUUAGUUCUUUUUCAAUUUAGCGGAAUCAAGUCCCAUUAUUUAUUUAUUUCUUUCUUUCUUUUUCACUUACCCAACGAACCCUAACGAGCUCCCCGUAUAUACGAUUGACGGAGGCAAGUACGCGGUCAACAUUUCAUUACAGUAGGACCCGCUUAAACAUGAUCAUGUGAGAAGGGGCCCACUAAACACCUUUGAUUUAUCACAUAACUCCCUUGGACGGUCUAGAUUAAAUAUCAUCACGUGAGUCCACACUGCUAGGACUGGCAUCUGGUGGCGACUCAUGAAAGGGAAAGGGGAGGAUUUUUCCGCGGUGUUUUAGGCAACAAUAAAAGCCCGUAGAUAUUUCAAGUUUCUACGAAUUUGCCACUAAUGUGUUUGAGUGGCUACCCUUAACUUUUGUGGGACCCAAGAUCGCAAACUGGCACCAUGGGGUGGAGCCCAUGGCUGGUGAGUCUUGGACCUCUUGGUGCUAGGAGGUCAUGACCAUCAUGUCUGUCUUAUGAUUAUUAUUAUUUUUUUAGCAGUAUUCAAAAGUAUGAUAAGGAGGAUUUUUUAAAAUAUUUUUUAUUUAAAAAUAUAUUAAAAUAAUAUUUUUUUAUUUUUUAAAAAUAAUUUUUGACACCAACAUAUUUAAAUAUCUAAAAAUAUAAAUUAAAUUAAAUUCAAGUAAAAUUAAAUAUAAUAUUUGUAAUAAUAUUUUAAAACACAAAAAUAAAAGAGUUCUUGGAUUCUUAAGUGAGUGUUUGAGAGUAAAAUUAAAUUCAAGUAAAAAAAAUAUAUUUUUAAUAAUAUUUUAAAAUAUAAAAAUAAAAAAGUUCUUGGAUUUUUAAGUGAGUGUUUGAGAUUAAAAUUAAAUUCAAGUAAAAAAAAUAUAUUUUUAAUAAUAUUUUAAAACACAAAAAUAAAAGAAUUCUUGGAUUCUCGAGAGAGUGUUUGAGAGUAUAAUUAUAGUUGUUUUUUAAAGUGUUUUUUAUUUAAAAAUAAAUUAAAAUAAUUUUUUUUUAUUUUUAAAAAAUUAUUUUUGACAUCAAUAUAUUAAAAUGAUAUAAAAAUAUAAAAAAAUAUUAAUUUAAAAUAAAAUAAAUAAAUUAUUAUUUAAUUACUUUUAAAAUUUAAAAACAAUGAGGGCGGCGUGCUGUUUUUUUUUUGUCACGAAGAGGUGCAAGUUGAUGAUUGUAGGGGUAAAAUUGUCAAUAUACAUGAUUAAUUAUGAAGAAAGAUUUUUUUGCUGUGAUUUUUUUUUUACUUUUAAUGUAUCUUUUUUCUAUUUUUGGCUUUAUGCAAUAAGUGUAUGUGCUGAUGCGAAAUAAUUGCCUUGUACUUGGGGAGAAUUUCUUAACGAAUAAGAAGUCGACACAUGAGAGGUGUUGUUCGCACGUGGAGGUCCAUUGCCUAUGAACCAUGCAACUAUAAAGGCUUAAUUUUAACAUUAGUUUUAUAUAUGGAGGUUUGAACGAGAGAUUUUUAGAUAUGAGAAAAUAAUAUUAAUAGUUAAACUAACACUUGUUUAUUAUUUUAUCACAAAAAAAUAAAGAUAGAUAUAGUGGACAUGUGAGAUGUUUCUUCAUAUCCUCUUUGUUUUUAAAAUAGAGAAAUUAAUUUUAAUAUUUAUAAAUUAAUUUUAUGUAUUCAUCCAUGUCAUUUCAAUCAAACAAGUUUUUAUUUAUUUAUUUAUUUUUGUAUUCAUUUUUUCUAUCUCUAAAUAAUAACCAAAUACUAAUCAAGUUAUUAGAAAAAAAAUCAUCUUAUUCCAUACAAUGUACUUCAAUCCCAUAACAUUUAUGAAAAUAUUUUUUGUAAUGAUUUUAUCAAUUGAUCUAAAGUGUUUCAAUUUAUAAUACUAAUUAUCGAAAAAGAAUAAGAUUGAAGAUAAAACAAUAAUGCUAUAUAUAGAUGUUGAUAAAUAAAAAAUAAAAACAGAUGUAUUUAUAAGAAAUUGAUUUAUUCCAAUCUCACUAGUCUAACCCAAAAUGACAGGGUAUAUGGAUGUAAAUCUGCUUGAUACCUAAGCUAACACCUGAAAUUAAUGGUACAUAAAAAAGAGAACACUGCAAUGAGUCCUUCGAUCGGAUAAUAUUAGUCCAUUGCAUGUGAAAAAAAUAAUUAUGUAAAAUGGUAGGAGAAGAAUAUUACAAUUGUUUUGCAUAAAAUAUUUUACAUGUAAAUUUUUUCUUAUAAACUAAUGGCAAUGGUGCCGGUGAAAUGAUAAUUAUUAUGAAGAAAAUGAUAAUGAGAUGAUCAUGGUGGGGGUGAAAGAAAAGAAGGUGAUGAUGAAGUGAUAGUAAGAUAGCAGUAAUAGUAGAGAAAGUGGUUGUGAAGUGGUGGUGAUAAGAUGAUAGUAAUAAGAAAAAAGAUGAUGGUGAGACGGUAACGGUGAUGAAAUAAUCAUAAUAAUGGUAAAAAAAAUGGUGAUGAGAUUAUGAGGAUGAUGUAGUGGUUGUGAAUCGUGAUGAUGAUAAAAAAAAAAUAGUCUUAUAAAAGGACAUAUCAUUAUUUUAAAAGGAGAAAUUCUUAAUUAAAAAAUCUUUUCUUUUACAAAACCAUCUAUCAAACAGCAAAAAAGGAAAAAAAAAUGCAUUUUGUUUUUAAAAAGGUAGUGUUAAUUAAUAUUCAUAGGGUAACUAUUUGUAUAUUUGAUGGAGUACGUAGCAUCCUGUAAGGCUGCUUCUUCUCCUCUAUUCUUUAAUGAGUAUUAUCAUCUUAAAAUCGAGGAGCCCAUGAAGCUACUUCCAGCAGUCUCUGUGGAAAAACAUGAACACAAAUUUAGACCAAGUAAAAUUAAUGGGAUGGCACAAUCGAUUAGCACCGCAUGCAACGAUAUCCAAGAAUAUUCUUGCCCAAUGAAGAAAAAUUAAAAUAGUAACAUUUCUAUCCAUGUAAAGCUAGUGAUGGCGCCAUGGAUCGUGAAAGAUUUAUAAUAUGUUGUGCUUAAUUUGUCGUAACGGACCAUUACCAGAAAGAGAAAUAGAUAUGGAAUUUCCAAGCAAAUUGUGUGAAGGAGAUUCAUAAUGGCUUGGCAGCCAAGUAAAAGCCUCGAAGCAUUUUCAUGCUGAUAAUAUAUACAAACGAUCAAAACUUGAUCAAGCUAGGAUAAAAUGGUUUGGUAACCCUCUCAGCCUGCCAAUUAGAAAUAUAUAUGAGAAGCGCAUUACGUAGGACCCAUGACUCGAGCUUCUCAAGCUCUCAUGUCUUUUCAUGAUGUCCUUAUUGCGUAAAAUAUUAGUAUUAACAGCCUGUUACUAUAUAAUCAAUGAAAUUUAGAUCUUUGAGAAAAACCCAUUUGAAAUCAAGCUUUGAAUUUGAGCUCCCAUGGCUACAUUCAUGGUUUUGAUGCCGUCAUUUUUGUUGGGUUUUUGUUUUGGAUUGAUGGCGGGUUGGGUUUGGAGCAAGAGGCUCCGUAUCCCAUUCUUUGUUCUAUGUGGAGUGCCAGGGAUGCAGUGAGCACCAACUCUUGAAGUUACGCAACACUUCGGUGCCAUCUGCGAACGCAUUAUUUAUCAGACCAGGAGAUCAUCCGAUGCUUACCUUAAUAAAUAUAGGUGGAGAAAACAAUGUACAUGAAAUGAAAAUUGUAGAGGGUGUGUGAUUGUAAUGAACUAGUGUAAAGCUCUUGGAUGAGCUUCGAUGGCCUGAAAAAUAGGUGCUUCUUUGUGCUUCUUUGUGUGGAGUUAUAGUUACCUCGAUGUGUGGAUGGCGAAUCAUUGAUGGAGAGAUUAGAGCUAUCAUUAGUUGCUGUGCUUGCAUGUUCAAUGGUGGGGAUAUGUGGACAAAAAAUAAUUAUUAACAAGAAAAAUAGGGUUUAUUCUGCAUGGAAAAAUGUGUACGCGAAUGGUGGUGCGACACUCACAUCUUGGAAACAAAUAUAUAAAGGUGUGUGCUUAGGUCACAUGACCAUGAAGGGAAGUCAAGUCCAUCUCCAUUAUGGAAUGUAGCUAAAUAAUUUCGAAGUAUGGACAACAUUAGCUUCUCUUUUUUCUUCGUUUUUUUGUGUUCUUUAUGGUCUAAAAGUUCUGCUAUUACAUGCUCUUGAAUUGCUGCAGACAAUUUUGAAGUAUGGCAAACAUUAGCUGCUUUUGUGUUGUAAUUAGUUAACAAUUGCAAAUACUGUAUCCAUUACUAUUCUCUCAUGCCUGUCUCCGUCAUUGAGUUUGAAAAAUGUCUGAAUUAAUAGGCAGAAACUUUCAAACCAAUAGCUGAAUAAAAUCAUCAUCAUCAUCAUCAUGGUACAUUUUUGUGUAAGAUUUUGAAAAUAUCAAGCUUUUCUUUAAGGUAGGAUUUUACCACCAGGUUGCUGGGACCAUGGUGGGCUGUCGAUAGUUUACCUGUCAUCAUAAAGUAGCAGAAAAAAGAGAAGAAAGGUAAGGAAUAAUUGCAGCUUAUAAUAGCAGUAUUGACAGAUGUUAAAGAGGGGUUGGGGGGGUCAAUAUCUACAGUUAUGAACAUCUGAGGACCAAAUCAAGCUCAGCAUGCAUGAUAAUCAACAGAGGACCUACUUCACACAGAAAGGACUUACCUUUCACUUCAAGGCACCACUCCUGACAGGACCAGUUUGGCACAAGUGAAAACCCUCUAGAGAUACUAAAAUUAGAGAGCAAUCAAAUCUUGCAUUGCUAAAGACUUGCCAUGAAGAGAUUUUUUAAAAAAAAUUAGCACAAUUGAAAAGUUUUGUAAGAAUAAUAUUAUUAAAAUUUUUUUUUUAUGAAAUAGCAUAUUUUAUAUUAUUGUAUUUUAAAAUCGCUAUAUUUACUAAAUCUUGUUAUUCCUAAAUGCAAUAAGAUAGUUGUGGGUGGAAGACAUAACAGUACAUGCAUGCUGUUUUUGCAGCAACUGCUUCCACAGUUAUUAUAUAAUACCACAACUCCCUACUUUUCUUAUCAUUUCUUCCAUGAUUCAACAGAAAAGGAAGUAUUAAAGAGUAGAUGAGUAGGACACAUGGUCAAUGGUAAGUUCUCAUCAUGAUAAAGCAUAUUAUCUCUUCCAAAUUAUGAAUUAAAAGCAAACAACAUAGUGGUCAUGGAAUCAUUUUCACCUGUUGGAGAGAAUUCGAUGAAGAUUGUCACACGUGUGCGGCGUCGCGGCGAAUAUUCAACUCUCAGGUAAGUAUCUGGAAAUCGAGAAAUAUGGGGAUGUAAUGAAUUCUUGUUUUUUAUCAGUGAAAAAAUAGAAUGAGAGUCGCCACCUAUUAUUUUGGUCACUAGGAACCCUAAUUGGUCUCAGAGAUCGGAUACGGGGACUGGUUGCGUAAAGAAAAUGUAUUAGCACCCCAAAUACGACUUACCUAAGAUAAGCUGCAUUGUUUGAUUAUCUGAUAAAAAGCUAAGAUGUUAUUGUAUUUCUAAUUGUUGGUCCGUCUAUGAUUUAAGAAAAAUCCUCAUCAGUAAGAAAAGCUAACCGUUCUAACGUCUAUAUAAAAAAAAACUACAUUUUGAAUAUCAGGAAUACGUUUUACGUAUAAAUUUGUAUUCUCAGAUACUAAAAGAAAACAAAAUAUUUUUUUUGAAAAUUUUGAAAUAUUGGCCUAGUUCUCAUGACUCUAACAAACUUGUUAUUAAAGCCAAAAUACAUGCUAAAAUAUAUUUUUGAAUUUUUUUUGUGUUUUAUGUAUAAAAAAACAAUAUGUAUUUUUUUGUAUGAAAAUACAAUGUGAUGAUUUUUCUUAUCUUUGAGAGACUUGGCCGUAUGCAUGAAAACAAAAUAAUUUUUUUUUCAAUGUUUUUGACAAAAACCGGGUAUUUUAAUACCGGAUUUGUAUCUUUACGGUAUAAAAAUAUAAACCAGUAUUAAGCAAAAUUCAGUAGAAAAAUACGCAGAAAAAUCAUAAAUUUUUUUUAUAAAAAGAUUUUUUUGGGAGAAGUUUGGACUGGGCCAGGAACGGCCCGACCCAAUGUUCACUGCAUGAACAGUGAACGUGAAUUAUAAUUCACAUCUACUGUUCCCUCAGCGAACAGAGAUGAAGAAGAAGAAGAAAGGGAGGAAGGCUGACAUGCGGUGGUUCUGACGGUGGUGGAGGACAGCGUGGUGCAAGCGGUGGCGGCUGACGGUGGUUGCGACAGGAAGAAAGAAGAAGAAGAAAAUCUGCAGGGGGAGAGGACCGACGGUUGCUGUGGUUGGACGGUGGCUAUGUUGGCUUCCUGUGGUGGAGAUGGUGGCUGAAAAGCUGACGGUGAUGACAGUGGUGGCUAGGACGGCGGAGAGAGAGAGAGUGUGAAGAGACAGACGACAGAAAAGGAAAAAUCAUGGGGAGGAAGGCUGGUUUUCAACCGACUUUGGACCCAAUUAUCUCCCUCCCUGGAGCAUGAAAAAUCACAUCUAUUUAUAGGUGGUGGAAGAGGGACACUUUGUCUCUUCUAGUGCCAAAUGUCGGCCCUUGGUUCGACCCGAAAGCACUCCAACCAUUGCUUCAAAGAAGCAAUGAUGAACUACCAGUUUUGUGCAGGAAAAUGGCUGGUCGGGUUGACUACUUUGGGACGGUGCCACCGCCUCUGCAUCCUCGAUAAGCCCUAACAAUUUAUACUAGUGUGUAUUCAAGUAUCACAGGAUCAUUUUCGUGCAGGUUUCAUUUAAUUUGGGGAAGAAACGAGGCGUCAAACGCCUUGGGAAUGAGGCCCCUCGGGCAGCCUCGCUAGAGAAGAAGAUGAAUAGUAACUUUUCUGCCAAUUACGCUUUAGUCCUUCAAUUUGUGACUUAUCUCUAAUUACACCCCUGAUGAACUUCAACUCAAACCCUAGAUUUCAGCGCCCUUUUCCCUUUGGUCCCUGGUUCUUACUUUAUUCAACUAAGUCCUUAAUUGACCAUCAAACUUCAAUAUUUAUGUAAUUAAGCCCCUGAUUUGACCAAAUUAACUCUAAAAAAUUCUAAUUUGACCCCAAAACUUUAAUUUCUUCCAAUUAAAGCCCAAAUUGACUUUAAAAACAAAUUUUCUUGCAAUCAAACCCUCCAUAAAUUCAAUUAAACCUCUAAUAAAAAAUUUUUUUGGACCUUUCUUCUUCAAUUUGAAUUUUCCUUGUCAACGGGGCUCUUCAUCUGUAAAAAAUAUACUGUCAAAUUUUAAUCUUUGAAUUUUUUAGCCUCCUCAACCAAUUUCUAGCCAUUUUUAGGCGCUCCGACAUCAUCUUCUCAUUGUUAUUAUUUUUUUUUGUUUUUAGUCCGAAUAUAUUUUUUGAUUUUUUGAAGAGAAAAGGUGAAUAUCGGGGAAUAACCCAAAAAGGGGCUGUGACAAUGAUAAAUAGCAUCCUAAGGAGACUGUCUUUCUUUUCAGGGCCGAAGUUAUAGAUUUACUUCCAGGAAUUUAGAUCAAGGCACAAAUCUUCACUGUUUUCCUUAGACAGGUUAUUCAGAAUAAGAAAUCAUUUCCAGCAAUAGCAUGUUUUCACUUUUUCCAUCAUUGCCAGCAAGUACUUUCUUGGCACAACAUAACUUCUGGAAAGAUUUGAACAGUUUCCAUGCCUUGUGGAGCAUCAAGUGAUUCAGAAUUUCAUGAGUUUUGAGAUUGCAGGGGACUAGAGCCUCAAUGAAUCCAUCAGAAACCAACCCUAUUACCACUAUCAGUUAUGCUUCCGAGAAGUUGGUUUUAAACUGUAUAAUUCUUAGCAUAAUUUUAGGAGAAAGAUGUAAAAUUAAAUACAUGUUUGUUGUCUUGCUUGAACUUUAUUUUGCAUGUAAGGAGUAGGUGAGUGAAAGCAAGUAUUCUGUGGUGAAGCAGAUAUUGUUAGACAGCUCAAAGAAUCAUACUGUUAGACAGCUCAAAGAAUCAUACUCAGUCCCCCUGACCACAUCAAUUGCUUGUAACAGGUGUUCUCAUUUCCAUCUUGAGGAUCAUUACAAAGGCAUCGCUCCUCAGAACCCUCAACGUCUCCGAACAAGUGCUCACUUCUACUUUAUAGUUAGUGCCAUAUCAUUCUGCUGUGUUGCGCUCUCUCUUCCAAUUUGUUAUACAAACUACCAGUUAUGGAACAGCGUUACAAACUUGCUCCUGAUGAUUCACUGUUUCCAAAACCAAAAUUUCGGGCUGUAGCAAGAAAAAUCCGAUGGCCAGCUUUUGGUGUUCUCAUGAUUUAUAUCGUGACUUUGUCGAUAUUUCCUGGUUUCAUAGAAGAUCUCUCGUCCAAGUUACUAAAAGAUUGGUAUCGCGUUUUGCUGAUAACAAUAUACAAUGUUGCAGACUUCACAGGGAAAUCUUUAACCGCAAUAUAUGUUCUGCAGAGCAUUAAGAAGGCAACAUGGGGUUGCAUUCUCAGGCUUGUGUUCUAUCCUCUCUUUGCAGCUUGUCUCAAUGGACCCAAGUGGCUGAAAACUGAAGUACCCGUGGCAAUUCUAACUUUCAUGCUCGGAGUGACUAAUGGCUAUCUGACAAGUGUUCUCAUGAUCCUUGCCCCCAUGGCAGUAUCAGUUUCAGAAGCAGAGUUAUCUGCAAUUGCAAUGGUUGUGUUCCUAGGAAUAGGGUUGGUUGGUGGAUCAGUUAUUGGCUGGUUUUGGAUCAUUUGAGCCUUUUUUUUUUGGUCUCUCAGGCUAGUUGGGAACAGAUUAUAUUCACAAGUAAAAUUCAAGAACAAAACUAACCGGAGGUUAGCACCAGGAAUAAUCGAUAGCAAAUGGUAUGAAUUUAGAGCUAUCAAUCUUUAUUUUCCCAAUCAGCUGCUGAUUUCUUGUUCUGAGUGAAAGUAUCCUUAUCCUUGUGUAUUGAAGAAGAUUAGAUUACUCUUCUUACCGUUUCUAAAGCACAGGUUUAACUCUCCAAAUAUUCCCAUUUGCACUCAAAAGGCUGAGUUGCAAGCAUAGCUUUUCUGUCGUAGAGCCCCAAUAGUUGAUGUGACGGCAAGCCCUAACAACUCGCGCCUUGGCAAACUGGUAGAUCAGGCCCUGUUACUGUAUAGAAAUUUUAACACUCCUAGGACUUGCUAAGUUUGAACAGAAAUCAGCUCGUUAAAUUAUUGAAUACAGGGGAAGAUAGAUAAUGAUAAUUUAACGAUUUAAUCUAUCCAGGCUUUAUCAUUUCCUUGAUUCCUUCAAUAAUUAAAGGUGAAGCAUAAACCCUAAAUAAAAUUGAAGAGGCAAUACAUAACAUGCUAAACGCAUUGUUAUUGUAUCUAAAGCAUUGGACAGUCUUUUCUGUCCAACCACGGUGCUUAUCUAUAGGGGGGAUACUUGCAUGACCAGAGGAAAGGAGAUUUCAAACUUCAACGUUUCAGCAAAACUCCACUAUGCAGUGGCAGCAAUACCUACCAGAACAAAAGAACUUUAUUGACAAAUAUAUAACAAAAGAACUUUAGGUAGUGCCAUAAAAACUCGUCUUAUCUUUUAUUUUUCUUUCUACAUCAAAUUGCCAGACGAGCAAAGCAUGGUAAUUAAACAACUCAACUGAGCAGCUUAAAAGGUUACUAGAAAAAUUGCAAGAAGAAAGGAUGUAUAAACAAAGGUCAGAAGUUAUGUCUAAGCUAUGAUACAAGAUUUUUGUGAGAGGUGGUGGUCUCAAGAUGAGGCGGCUAAAGGAGGGAGAGGCCUAGAUCCAUGGAAAAAAGUUGGCGGUGACAAUUUGCUCAUAUUUUCUCUCUGAUCCCGCUCCCCCUCCUCCUCCUCUUCAGCAUCCCAAAGAAACCGAGCAUAAGAUGCCAUCACAUAACUGCAGCA